GUUACCUGAUUUGCUGUCGAGAGCCUUGUUCUUGGUGUGCUCAGUUUCCUCUUCCUGGGUGCCAAAGACUGGGACUUGUAGCCUCUGCGGUCAUCUCCUUUCUCUCCUUUCCCGGGUCUCCGUUCGUCCCGUCGUAACGUGACCAGGAGGAUGGCCGCUACCCUUGAGCGGGAGUGCGGCGCCCUGGAGCAGGGCCGAGAGCCAGCUGGAAAGGGAUGAAGACUUCGCAGGUGAACCAGUUCAACGUGAAGGAAGAGAAGUUAGGCUUGUGGACACCAACACGGUAAUGGUUAACCUUUGGGCUUUAAGUACCAGCACUGGGCCAAGUGCUUCACUUUUUCCUAGAACUUUUCCGUGCUCUUAACAAGUAGGUAGUAGGUGAGCGACCGUUUGCAUUCGAUCAGUCUUGAGGGAAUGAGACGUGAAAUAUUUUAGGGUACUGGGCUUCUCUGCUGACCUCUGCACAGCACUAUUCCCAUUAUCCGCUUUCCCAGCAUUGAUUUAUGGUCUAGGUACAAAUUAAAAUCUUGAAGACAAGUCUGCUCUUAAGGUGACCAGACAUACCUGUGGAAGUGUGGCAUCCUGUAGGGCAGACUGAAAUGCAUGUGCUCAGUGAAGGGUACUUGCCUGGAGAGACAUAGAAUGAAGGACUGUGCUGGAGAGAAGAGGUGAGUUGGGGCUGGGGAGAGUUGGUUGAGGAAGACCACUUCAUGACAGUGGAUUCCUGCCUGGCCAUCCUGGUUGUAGGGAGGCUGAGCUGUUCCUGCAGCUUAGGAGGGUUAUGGUAAUAGCAAAUCAGAGAAUGUAGAAGGCCAGAUCUUAAGAAUGGUGUGGGAAGGAGGAAGUUGGGGCAGGGCUGGGGAGGAUAGCAGAUGGGAGAGUCUGGCUUGCCUCCUUUUUGUGAAUGAAAGUCUGAGGAGAACACAGAUGUUAUUUGAGAGGAGUGCUGCAGGAUGAAGCACGGGUGGAGGGAGUACUAAUGUGUGGCUGAUGAUGACAGGAUAGAAGGCACGUUGUCAGUGUGGGCAUGGGAAGAAGAGAGAUGGAGUGUGUGAAUGGAUAGAAAGGUGUGCCCUAGAAAUCCUGUAUGAGGCCAGGUCAGAGGAGAGACACCUAGUAAUAUUUUGUCUCUGGAAAAUCGAGUGAGAAGAGACACAAAGGAAUUGCUUAGAGGUUCUACUGCAUGCAGAUUAAGUAUAGAUAACAAGAAUGCUCUGUAGCUUCCAAAAGCUUUAAAGGAAGAAUUGUGAAAGUUUUCAUCCUAAACCUAAUCAAAGUUGGAUGCUGAGCUGGGAGACUGUGGGAUUUCAGUUUAAGACCAGCCCAGGCAAAAUGAUUGUGGUGAGACCCAUAUUUAAACCAAGACAAUUCUGUGCAUGGUGGUACAUUGCUUUCUUCCCAGCUAAAUAUGAAGCAUUAACAGGAUGAUGUCCCAGGCUAGUAUUGAAAAAACCCUUUCAAAAAAAAUAAAGCAGGGCUGGGAAUGUGGCUCAGUGGUAAAAUGCUUUCCUGGCAUUC
Long non-coding RNA from Dipodomys ordii (Ord's kangaroo rat), 1518 nucleotides. RefSeq lists it as uncharacterized. Lineage: Eukaryota; Metazoa; Chordata; Mammalia; Rodentia; Heteromyidae. The record is from RefSeq and is a predicted model, not a curated record. The transcript has 3 exons.